RNAcentral lists this long non-coding RNA (221 nucleotides) under Elaeis guineensis (African oil palm). Its description in RNAcentral is "long non-coding RNA (EGUI_LNC026465)". Lineage: Eukaryota; Viridiplantae; Streptophyta; Magnoliopsida; Arecales; Arecaceae. The record is from RNAcentral.
AGUUGUGUAGUAUACGCAAAAGAACACUCUAUACAAUCUGCCAUGAGCAAAAGAGCAAUGAGAACCACGUGCUCCAAUUAAAAGAGGGAAGAACAAAGGGGAAGGUAGAACCAUCCAGAAGUGAUGCUAACGGUAAGACGAAAUCCAAGAACUUCGAGCGUAACCAAAGCUAUAGCUAUGACACUAUCAGGUGGUUUAGUUACUUGCUUUAUGUUGUGGUG